RNAcentral lists this ribosomal RNA (671 nucleotides) under Debaryomyces hansenii. RNAcentral's name for it is "eukaryotic LSU rRNA". The stretch from base 258 to 411 matches the Rfam family "5.8S ribosomal RNA". Lineage: Eukaryota; Fungi; Ascomycota; Pichiomycetes; Serinales; Debaryomycetaceae. The record is from RNAcentral.
UGGGAGUAUAAAAAUCGUAACAAGGUUUCCGUAGGUGAACCUGCGGAAGGAUCAUUACAGUAUUCUUUUUGCCAGCGCUUAAUUGCGCGGCGAAAAAACCUUACACACAGUGUUUUUUGUUAUUACAAGAACUCUUGCUUUGGUCUGGACUAGAAAUAGUUUGGGCCAGAGGUUUACUAAACUAAACUUCAAUAUUUAUAUUGAAUUGUUAUUUAUUUUAAUUGUCAAUUUGUUGAUUAAAUUCAAAAAAUCUUCAAAACUUUCAACAACGGAUCUCUUGGUUCUCGCAUCGAUGAAGAACGCAGCGAAAUGCGAUAAGUAAUAUGAAUUGCAGAUUUUCGUGAAUCAUCGAAUCUUUGAACGCACAUUGCGCCCUUUGGUAUUCCAAAGGGCAUGCCUGUUUGAGCGUCAUUUCUCUCUCAAACCUUCGGGUUUGGUAUUGAGUGAUACUCUUAGUCGAACUAGGCGUUUGCUUGAAAUGUAUUGGCAUGAGUGGUACUGGAUAGUGCUAUAUGACUUUCAAUGUAUUAGGUUUAUCCAACUCGUUGAAUAGUUUAAUGGUAUAUUUCUCGGUAUUCUAGGCUCGGCCUUACAAUAUAACAAACAAGUUUGACCUCAAAUCAGGUAGGACUACCCGCUGAACUUAAGCAUAUAAAAAGGGGAGAGAGAAU